CAAACUUUACGUGCUUGUUGUUUUCUGUGAAAAAAAGUUUAAUCAAUAUGAAAAUGGAAAUUCCUUGCAAAGAUUUGAACUAACAAUUGUGUUUGUGUUUUGUGGAGUAUAGCUUAUUAAUAGCAUUGACUUGCAAAAGAAGACAUAUGUGUUUGGUCACGGGGCUCUUCUUGCAGUUUGGGAAAGCAACAAACGCUCGCGAGAAGCAUUGGAGACUUACAUAUUCGACAAAUUGAAUGCCGAUCAUCAAAAUGAAACAAUAAUAAAAACAAUAUCAACUAAAAUUACUAACUUUAUUAAUUACAUAAAUAAACAUUUGCCUCGAUGCUGCCGAAACAUAAAGCGAUUUAGACAAAAACACGCUAUGUGGCUAGCCGGUAAUAUGACUAUACUUUCUGAUAGAAAUGAAUCCCCACAGAAGAAAGGUGGUCGUCCAAAAUUGUCAUAUGAUCAUGCCAGAAAAUGCAGCCGGGUUGACAAUAUGUCAGAUGUUUUUCACAGAGCUAUGGAUUCGUCUGAUCCCCUUUUAUCUAGUUUUUGCUCAACAAAAACCAACCGGAUGCCUCUGCCAGCAGAGGUUGUAGAUCUUUUGGAUUCGCCAAUCAUAUCCCCAGGCACAGAAGACACAGAUGAAGAAAAUUGUAGCGAUGAUGUAAGUGACACUUUUGAAAUAGAAUUAGAGGAAGAGGUACCAGACGAUAUUGAAAACUAAAAAACGAGGAAAAAAUAAAAAGAUGUUCUUCAAAUGUAACAAUGGAUCCCAAAUAUGUUACCGGUUUUUUUCUAUAAUGUAACACCAAAUAGGAUUAAAAUUAUAAUAUAUAAUAAUUACUUAUUU
This is a long non-coding RNA of Drosophila suzukii, 838 nucleotides long. RefSeq lists it as uncharacterized. The record is from RefSeq and is a predicted model, not a curated record. NCBI's taxonomy places the organism in Eukaryota, Metazoa, Arthropoda, Insecta, Diptera, Drosophilidae.